This 497-nucleotide ribosomal RNA is filed under the name uncultured bacterium. RNAcentral's name for it is "partial 16S ribosomal RNA". It matches the Rfam family "Bacterial small subunit ribosomal RNA", at positions 28 to 507 of the family's 1533-position model. The record is from RNAcentral.
GAUGAACGCUGGCGGCGUGCCUAAUACAUGCAAGUCGAGCGAACAGACGAGGAGCUUGCUCCUCUGACGUUAGCGGCGGACGGGUGAGUAACACGUGGAUAACCUACCUAUAAGACUGGGAUAACUUCGGGAAACCGGAGCUAAUACCGGAUAAUAUAUUGAACCGCAUGGUUCAAUAGUGAAAGACGGUUUUGCUGUCACUUAUAGAUGAAUCCGCGCCGCAUUAGCUAGUUGGUAAGGUAACAGCAUACCAAGGCAACGAUGCGUAGCCGACCUGAGAGGGUGAUCGGCCACACUGGAACUGAGACACGGUCCAGACUCCUACGGGAGGCAGCAGUAGGGAAUCUUGCGCAAUGGGCGAAAGCCUGACGGAGCAACGCCGCGUGAGUGAUGAAGGUCUUCGGAUCGUAAAACUCUUUUAUUAGGGAAGAACAAAUGUGUAAGAAACUAUGCACGUCUUGACGGUACCUAAUCAGAAAGCCACGGCUAACUACGUG